This is a long non-coding RNA of Pollicipes pollicipes, 321 nucleotides long. RefSeq lists it as uncharacterized. The record is from RefSeq and is a predicted model, not a curated record. The transcript is spliced from 3 exons. NCBI's taxonomy places the organism in Eukaryota, Metazoa, Arthropoda, Thecostraca, Pollicipedomorpha, Pollicipedidae.
CGCCACCAGCUACCAUUUCUCGAAGGGGGACUCCAGGACGCUGAGCCUCGGUGACCAGAACCCGUCCCGUCUGCUGAAGCUGUACGGUCGGCCUUCGCACCAGCAGCUGAUGCGCAUGUGGGCCGAGCUGUUCUACGUGGUCUCGGUCCCCGUCCUGCUGGUCACCACUUUCCUCUACUCACUGCUCAGGUUUGUUCUGGAGGCGGUGGUGCGGCCGGUCGCCGUCGGACCCGUCCAGCUGCUGGGAGACCACCUGCUGAAGCCGGCCGUCGUGGCGCUGCACGACUCCCUCCUGCUGCCGGCCGCCACCCUGCUGGCCAA